AAUAGAUACCCAGGUAGUCCACGCCGUAAACGUUGGAUACUAGGUGUGGCGUCCCGAUCAACGGAUGCCGUGCCGAAGCUAACGCAUUAAGUAUCCCGCCUGGGGAGUACGGCCGCAAGGCUAAAACUCAAAGGAAUUGACGGGUCCCCGCACAAGCGGCGGAGCAUGCGGCUUAAUUCGAUGCAACCCGAAGAACCUUACCUGGGUUUGAAAUCAUGGGAAAAGCUGUAGAAAUACAGUGUCCGUAAGGGCCCAUGACAGGUGGUGCAUGGCUGUCGUCAGCUCGUGUCGUGAGAUGUUGGGUUAAGUCCCGCAACGAGCGCAACCCUUGUCCUAUGUUGCCAGCGGUUCGGCCGGGGACUCAUAGGAGACUGCCGGGGAUAACUCGGAGGAAGGUGAGGACGACGUCAAGGUCAUCAUGCCCCUUAUAUCCAGGGCUGCACGCAUGCUACAAUGGUCGGUACAACGGGCAGCGACCCCGCGAGGGUGAGCGAAUCCCACAAAGCCGGCCUCAGUUCGGAUUGGAGU
Molecule: ribosomal RNA, 528 nt
Filed under: uncultured bacterium
Lineage: Bacteria
Description: bacterial SSU rRNA
Rfam family: Bacterial small subunit ribosomal RNA
Source: RNAcentral